RNAcentral lists this ribosomal RNA (253 nucleotides) under uncultured bacterium. Its description in RNAcentral is "partial 16S ribosomal RNA". It matches the Rfam family "Bacterial small subunit ribosomal RNA", at positions 524 to 776 of the family's 1533-position model. The record is from RNAcentral.
UACGUAGGGUGCAAGCGUUGUCCGGAAUUAUUGGGCGUAAAGAGCUCGUAGGCGGUCUGUUGCGUCGGCUGUGAAAACUCAGGGCUUAACCCUGAGCCUGCUUCCGAUACGGGCAGACUAGAGGUAUGCAGGGGAGAACGGAAUUCCUGGUGUAGCGGUGAAAUGCGCAGAUAUCAGGAGGAACACCGGUGGCGAAGGCGGUUCUCUGGGCAUUACCUGACGCUGAGGAGCGAAAGUGUGGGGAGCGAACAGG